Molecule: ribosomal RNA, 521 nt
Filed under: Pristolepis fasciata (Malayan leaffish)
Lineage: Eukaryota; Metazoa; Chordata; Actinopteri; Anabantiformes; Pristolepididae
Description: partial 16S large subunit ribosomal RNA
Rfam family: Bacterial large subunit ribosomal RNA
Source: RNAcentral
GUCCCGCCUGCCCUGUGACAUACGUGUUUAACGGCCGCGGUAUUUUGACCGUGCAAAGGUAGCGCAAUCACUUGUCUUUUAAAUGAAGACCUGUAUGAAUGGCAUAACGAGGGCUUAACUGUCUCCUUUUUCAAGUCAAUGAAAUUGAUCUCCCCGUGCAGAAGCGGGGAUAACCCCAUAAGACGAGAAGACCCUAUGGAGCUUUAGACACAAAGCAGACCUUGUUAACCCCCUCUAAACAAAGAAUAAAACCAGAAGAAUCCUGCCCUAAUGUCUUUGGUUGGGGCGACCGCGGGGAAACAAACAACCCCCACGUGGACUAGGAGAACUUCUCCCACAACCAAGAGCCACAGCUCUAAGUAACAGAAUCUCUGACCAUCAGAUCCGGCUACAAGCCGAUCAACGGACCGAGUUACCCUAGGGAUAACAGCGCAAUCCCCUUUUAGAGCUCAUAUCGACAAGGGGGUUUACGACCUCGAUGUUGGAUCAGGACAUCCUAAUGGUGCAGCCGCUAUUAAGGG